GAAAUGCGAUAAGUAGUGUGAAUUGCAGAAUUUAGUGAAUCAUCGAAUCUUUGAACGCACAUUGCGCCCCUUGGUAUUCCAUGGGGCAUGCCUGUUCGAGCGUCAUUUGUACCCUCAAGCUCUGCUUGGUGUUGGGUGUUUGUCCCCGUCUCCGCGCGUGGACUCGCCCCAAAGUGAUUGGCAGCCGGCGUACUGGUCCCGGAGCGCAGCACAUGUCGCGCAAACGAGUGCCUUGGUACGGCGGCGUCCAUAAGCCCCUCUCUCACGCUCUUGACCUCGGAUCAGGUAGGGAUACCCGCUGAACUUAAGC
Molecule: unclassified non-coding RNA, 310 nt
Filed under: plant metagenome
Description: partial contains 5.8S ribosomal RNA, internal transcribed spacer 2, and large subunit ribosomal RNA
Rfam family: 5.8S ribosomal RNA (bases 1-105)
Source: RNAcentral